Molecule: unclassified non-coding RNA, 299 nt
Organism: Fukomys damarensis (Damara mole-rat)
Lineage: Eukaryota; Metazoa; Chordata; Mammalia; Rodentia; Bathyergidae
Gene: 7SK
Rfam family: 7SK RNA
About the family: 7SK was discovered as an abundant small nuclear RNA in the mid-70s but a possible function has only recently been suggested. Two independent studies have found that 7SK RNA binds the CDK9/cyclin T complex (known as elongation factor P-TEFb).
Source: Ensembl
GGGUGUGAGGGUGAUCGGGCUACAUCUGUCACCCCAUUGAUCACCAAGAUUGAUCUGGCUGAUCUGGCUGGCUAAGCAGGUAACCCCUUCUGCCCUCACCACUCCAUGUACAUCCCUCCUGAAGCUGCAUGCUUAGUCUAAGAAAGGACCCGCACGCUCCCAUAGAGGAGGACCAUUUCCAUCAGUCAGGGUAUAAGAGUAGCUGUGCUCCCCUACUAGAGCCUCCAAACAAGGUCACAAGAAAUGAUUUGCAUAAGGUCACAUAUGGUAAACAGUCAAAAGUCAAAUUCAAACCCUUU